CAGUACUAUGGUCUUCAAGAGUUUCACUCAACAUCAUUCGACACCUUUAGCACGUGCCUUCUGUUCUUCUCUCAAGGAUAAUCUGAAAAAGGCUUUAACUGGAUUUACUGGUGUCUCCGGAUCCUUUCUGCUGGACCCUAGGGUGAUUCCAGAUAGUGGAAUUUUUUCAUCACUCUUUAUUGUUGAGUUUCUUCUAUUUCUGGCUGCCUCAAAAGACAAUCGUUGGGUAACUGCAUUGCUUACUGAAUUUGGAAGUGAAAGCAAGGAAGUUUUGGAGGAUAUUGGGCGUAUCCAUCGUGAAGUCUUAUGGCAGAUUGCUCUUCUUGAAGACUCUAAGAUUGAUGUAGAGGAUGAUGCUACUGGUUCUGCGGAUGAGUCACGCCAGUCAGAGUUGGAUAUGAUUG
Molecule: long non-coding RNA, 404 nt
Filed under: Coffea arabica (coffee)
Lineage: Eukaryota; Viridiplantae; Streptophyta; Magnoliopsida; Gentianales; Rubiaceae
Description: long non-coding RNA (CARA_LNC007061)
Source: RNAcentral